CUAGCGACUUCAGAGUUUGAUCCUGGCUCAGGACGAACGCUGGCGGCGUGCCUAACACAUGCAAGUCGAACGAAGCAUUCAAGUGAAUCCCUUCGGGGUGAAGCUUUUAUGACUUAGUGGCGGACGGGUGAGUAACGCGUGAGUAACCUGCCUUUCAGAGGGGGGAUAACAGUUGGAAACGACUGCUAAUACCGCAUAACGUAUUGAGAUCGCAUGGUCUUGAUACCAAAGCUGAGGCGCUGAAAGAUGGACUCGCGUCUGAUUAGAUAGUUGGUGGGGCAACGGCCUACCAAGUCGACGAUCAGUAGCCGGACUGAGAGGUUGAACGGCCACAUUGGGACUGAGACACGGCCCAG
Molecule: ribosomal RNA, 356 nt
Filed under: uncultured bacterium
Lineage: Bacteria
Description: bacterial SSU rRNA
Rfam family: Bacterial small subunit ribosomal RNA
Source: RNAcentral